This 429-nucleotide ribosomal RNA is filed under the name Gemmatimonadota bacterium. Its description in RNAcentral is "Gemmatimonadetes bacterium partial 16S ribosomal RNA". It matches the Rfam family "Bacterial small subunit ribosomal RNA", at positions 355 to 776 of the family's 1533-position model. The record is from RNAcentral. Lineage: Bacteria; Pseudomonadati; Gemmatimonadota.
UAGGGAAUCUUCGGCAAUGGACGAAAGUCUGACCGAGCAACGCCGCGUGAGUGAAGAAGGUUUUCGGAUCGUAAAACUCUGUUGUUAGAGAAGAACAAGGACGUUAGUAACUGAACGUCCCCUGACGGUAUCUAACCAGAAAGCCACGGCUAACUACGUGCCAGCAGCCGCGGUAAUACGUAGGUGGCAAGCGUUGUCCGGAUUUAUUGGGCGUAAAGCGAGCGCAGGCGGUUUCUUAAGUCUGAUGUGAAAGCCCCCGGCUCAACCGGGGAGGGUCAUUGGAAACUGGGAGACUUGAGUGCAGAAGAGGAGAGUGUAAUUCCAUGUGUAUCGGUGAAAUGCGUAGAUAUAUGGAGGAACACCAGUGGCGAAGGCGGCUCUCUGGUCUGUAACUGACGCUGAGGCUCGAAAGCGUGGGGAGCAAACAGG